CGGCGUGCCUAAUACAUGCAAGUCGAGCGAACAGAURAGGAGCUUGCUCCUUUGACGUUAGCGGCGGACGGGUGAGUAACACGUGGGUAACCUACCUAUAAGACUGGGACAACUUCGGGAAACCGGAGCUAAUACCGGAUAAUAUGUUGAACCGCAUGGUUCAAUAGUGAAAGAUGGUUUUGCUAUCACUUAUAGAUGGACCCGCGCCGUAUUAGCUAGUUGGUGAGGUAACGGCUCACCAAGGCAACGAUACGUAGCCGACCUGAGAGGGUGAUCGGCCACACUGGAACUGAGACACGGUCCAGACUCCUACGGGAGGCAGCAGUAGGGAAUCUUCCGCAAUGGGCGAAAGCCUGACGGAGCAACGCCGCGUGAGUGAUGAAGGUCUUAGGAUCGUAAAACUCUGUUAUUAGGGAAGAACAAACGUGUAAGUAACUGUGCACGUCUUGACGGUACCUAAUCAGAAAGC
This 469-nucleotide ribosomal RNA is filed under the name Staphylococcus lugdunensis. RNAcentral describes it as "bacterial SSU rRNA". It matches the Rfam family "Bacterial small subunit ribosomal RNA", at positions 40 to 491 of the family's 1533-position model. Lineage: Bacteria; Bacillati; Bacillota; Bacilli; Caryophanales; Staphylococcaceae. The record is from RNAcentral.